RNAcentral lists this ribosomal RNA (512 nucleotides) under uncultured Nitrospira sp. RNAcentral's name for it is "bacterial SSU rRNA". It matches the Rfam family "Bacterial small subunit ribosomal RNA", at positions 9 to 519 of the family's 1533-position model. The record is from RNAcentral. Lineage: Bacteria; Pseudomonadati; Nitrospirota; Nitrospiria; Nitrospirales; Nitrospiraceae.
GAGUUUGAUCUUGGCUCAGAAUAAACGCUGGCGGCGUGCCUAACACAUGCAAGUCGAGCGAGAAAGUUCCUUCGGGAACUAGUAAAGCGGCGAACGGUUGAGUAACACGUGAGAAUCUACCCUUCAGUGAGGAAUACCACCGAGAAAUCGGUGUUAAUACUGCAUACGUCCCUUCGGGGAGAAAGGUGGCUUUAAUGCUGCCGCUGAUGGAUGAGCUUGCGAGCUAUCAGUUAGUUGGUGAGGUAAUGGCUCACCAAGGCUAUGACGGCUAUCCGGCCUGAGAGGGUGUACGGACAGACUGGGACUUAGACACGGCCCAGACUCCUACGGGAGGCAGCAGUGGGGAAUAUUGCGCAAUGGGCGAAAGCCUGACGCAGCGACGCCGCGUGAAGGAUGAAGGUCUUCGGAUUGUAAACUUCUGUUAAGUGGGAAGAAAGAUGCAUUUUUAAUAGAAAUGUGUGAUGACGGUACCAUUAGAGAAAGCACCGGCCAACCUCGUGCCAGCCGCCGCA